ACGUCUAGCACGCCGCCGCGAGGGCUAGCGGCUAGACUAGCCCUCGUCCUGCUGCCGCCGUCACGAGGCCCUCCGCUCCUUGCCACUCCUUCACCGCUUCCAGCCCUAGGUAUGGCCGCCAAACAUCACCUCCGGCCGCCGCCACCUCGAGGUACCGGCCACCGCAAGGACUAGGGGCUAGGUUAGCCCUCGUCCUGUUGCUGCCGUCUCGAGGCCCUCCGCCCCUUGCUGCCCCUUCACCGCCUCCAGCCCUAGGUAGGGCCGCCAAGCAUCACCUCCUGUCACCGACGCCGCGAGGUACCGGCACCGCUGAGCCAGAAGAUCCCACUUCUAUGCUUCCUUCCUCUACUCCACCCUACGUCUCUUCUCUUCCCUCUUAUCCCUGACGCGCCGAUGGUCGACGUCCAGGCCGCCGCCGAGACCAGUAGCCUAGGUCGGCGAGGGGCAGAGGGACGCAGCAGGGUUCUACCAGGCCGACCCGCGGCGGGACUGCCGGCUCGCACACGAUAGGUGCCUUGCGCCGAGGAGGUGGGUCCGGUAGGAGGUGUUGCGGUCGCUCCUGUGAUGAAACAGGUUUGCUAGUAGUGCUGGUGCGCGUCCAUGUGUGUGUACACGAGGGGACCAAAUAAAACUACGGAAAAACGCUGUACAGACAAUACAAAGUCUUAGAAAAACUUUGACUUUAAACUUUUCUCGUACUCAAAACUAUCCUAACAUAUAUAGGAAGUCAACGAAUGACAUUGGACAUGGAAGACCAUCUAACUGUAUCUAUCUUAGUAUGACUAAAGGACAUUAAAGCAGUAGUGUUUCUACAAGAUAAACAAACCAGAUGACAUAACACUACUGGUAGUCUUUGGUAGAUAUAUACAAUAAACAUGACAAUUUAAAUCAAGAUCGUUGGUGCUCCUUCAUUACACAAUAUGCGGAUUGUGUACUAAUUCUUAAUUGUACGAACUUCUAGACCAAGUGGAGUUUGGUGAAAAGGUUUAUAGUUGACCGACGACAAAAACCUUUAAAACUAGUCGUGAGGUCUUUUUACAUACUACAUGGAAAAAUUGAAACCUCAUACUCAAACGUUUGAGGUCUUAACCUCAUAAGCAUACGUUUGAGGUCUUUCAAAGAGACCAGGACUAUGUGUAGUACUUCAUCCAUUGACCACACCAUGAAUAUAAGUCUAAACUGUCCUUAUCUUUGACUUGGAUAAUUUAUCAAUACUAUCCGAUCUACCCAAUAUUGAGAAGUAUUUAAGUAAAGGCUUAAUAACAAACUUGUUGCGACCCAACCUCGGGGCCACCACGAUUGUAGACGACGACCUGCCGCUGGUUACCCUGUUCAGGGAUCCAUUCUGCUUUUGUUCACAACGUAGUCGUGUAAACUACGUGUUGUCGGUAGCAUUCAAGGAGAGGGAAGAGAUUAAUCAUAACUAUAAAGUAACAAUAAUCUCGUCUCGUCGGUGGUUUUCAAGGAGAAAACUACGUAGUAACUUUUGUAGAGAGAGAGAGAGAGAGAGAUUAACUAAGUGUGUAAAUAGUCAAGUGCGCCGCGUGCCACACAGGUAAAGUAAACCUAAAACUUUGUGUUACUUACCUUUUCAUCUCCGACCCGCCUGAUGUUUUACCCGUCGUCUCACCAACAACUUGAAAUAGACAGGAGGUAAUUAGGAAACGACACACAUGUAUAUCUUCACGACUUCUGACAACCCACUGACUAAGCUGCGUUUCAAGUUACCGAGGAAGACACGAUAGACCUCGACCUAACCAGUAGUGUGUCAGCUACGUCUCAAGCUUCGUGGCGCAUCAUACUCGUCUCUAACGACCAUCAAGACUUUCAUGUCACUUGGUUCCACAUCCAAGUCUUGAACUCUAGCCAAACUGGAGCCCACAAAUAAGACACAGACUAGUACAUGCGUACAGUAUUUUAAUUCUAGACCCCAAUGGAGUACACAAACAACUGACAUUCACAAAACGUACACUGCCGGGUACAGCAAACAGGUUAAGACUAGGCGAUACCACCUCCGGCUGCCGUAUUACAACGGAACGUCAGUCUGCACCCGGUGCACGGAACGUAUUUUUAGACUUAUGGACAAUAAUAUAUGGACCCACAUGUACAACACGAAACCCUUAGAGUUCCCUCGUAUCUCCUUUCUAUAGCUCCCGUAGACACGAGAUCGUGUAUUAUGGUGAAAGUCGAAACAUAAAGUCCCUGCAUCUGUCACGUGAAAGAUAUUCACCACCAUAUAAACAUUACCUACACAUACCACUGUCUAGCAG
Molecule: ribosomal RNA, 2270 nt
Filed under: Triticum aestivum (bread wheat)
Lineage: Eukaryota; Viridiplantae; Streptophyta; Magnoliopsida; Poales; Poaceae
Description: partial small subunit ribosomal RNA
Source: RNAcentral